This 713-nucleotide long non-coding RNA is filed under the name Mus pahari (shrew mouse). RNAcentral describes it as "lncRNA (MGP_PahariEiJ_G0005776.1)". Lineage: Eukaryota; Metazoa; Chordata; Mammalia; Rodentia; Muridae. The record is from RNAcentral.
AAACUGCUUCACUUCUGAGAGACCAGGGCCCAUUCCAGUAGCUUCAGGGAUAAUGUCCAUGACCCAAACUUGGAGGAGGACAAGUGAAUGUAUUUUAUAAAGGAGAAGGCUGUGAAGCCAAGGCAGAGAAGGACAUGAGACUGGACAGGCUUCAGGGGUCUGAACCAACUCCAGCCCAGCUGUCAUCUGUGGGAAGUGGCUUUUGGCUGACCAGUGGUACUUCCCAGUGUCAGCACGUGAUUUGUGUCAGCAGCUCAGACCCUGUGCUGAGGGGACCCUGUCCUCAGCCAUCCUUCAUCUUGGGAAAACUCUCUGGUGUAAAAAGCAGGGCCUCAUUGCCUUGCUGAAGUGCCCGCUCUGAAUGAAGAAAAACUGGGUCCUGCAGUCUGUCCACAGGAAGAAGACUGUAUGUGAGCGCAGUCUCCGUGUUCACUGUGCCUCAUGCCAUCCCUGAUAACAGGGAGGAAAUGAAUGGUCCUUUAAAAAUCCUGAUUGGCUAAAGAGCUGGUGGUUUAAAUGAAUGCAUCUAAUUGCAAACUGUGAAGGGCUGGUCCUGGUAUUUAAAAGAUGGAUGAUUCUGUGAAGGGAAUGUGCUAAGACUUGUUUGUUGAAAAUGGGAUUAUUAAUGGCUUGUCAGUAAAGUUAAGAAUGCCUUAAAUCAUCCCUCUCUUACUCUAUUUAUAGAAAGAAUAAAACAGAUGAAUUUAUAAAGG